Molecule: ribosomal RNA, 2736 nt
Filed under: Vibrio parahaemolyticus
Lineage: Bacteria; Pseudomonadati; Pseudomonadota; Gammaproteobacteria; Vibrionales; Vibrionaceae
Description: bacterial LSU rRNA
Rfam family: Bacterial large subunit ribosomal RNA
Source: RNAcentral
GAGGCGAACCGGGGGAACUGAAACAUCUAAGUACCCCGAGGAAAAGAAAUCAACCGAGAUUCCGAAAGUAGCGGCGAGCGAAAUUGGACUAGCCCUUAAGCUUUACACGCGUUAGACGAACGGUCUGGAAAGUCCGACGAUACAGGGUGAUAGUCCCGUAGUUGACGACGUGUGUUCAGUGAAAUCGAGUAGGGCGGGACACGUGAUAUCCUGUCUGAAUAUGGGGGGACCAUCCUCCAAGGCUAAAUACUACUGACUGACCGAUAGUGAACCAGUACCGUGAGGGAAAGGCGAAAAGAACCCCUGUGAGGGGAGUGAAAUAGAACCUGAAACCGUGUACGUACAAGCAGUAGGAGCACCUUCGUGGUGUGACUGCGUACCUUUUGUAUAAUGGGUCAGCGACUUAUAUUCAGUGGCAAGGUUAACCAUCUAGGGGAGCCGUAGGGAAACCGAGUCUUAACUGGGCGUUCAGUCUCUGGAUAUAGACCCGAAACCAGGUGAUCUAGCCAUGGGCAGGUUGAAGGUUGAGUAACAUCAACUGGAGGACCGAACCGACUAAUGUUGAAAAAUUAGCGGAUGACUUGUGGCUAGGGGUGAAAGGCCAAUCAAACCUGGAGAUAGCUGGUUCUCCCCGAAAGCUAUUUAGGUAGCGCCUCGGACGAAUACUACUGGGGGUAGAGCACUGUUAAGGCUAGGGGGUCAUCCCGACUUACCAACCCUUUGCAAACUCCGAAUACCAGUAAGUACUAUCCGGGAGACACACGGCGGGUGCUAACGUCCGUCGUGGAGAGGGAAACAACCCAGACCGCCAGCUAAGGUCCCAAAUUACUACUAAGUGGGAAACGAUGUGGGAAGGCUCAGACAGCCAGGAUGUUGGCUUAGAAGCAGCCAUCAUUUAAAGAAAGCGUAAUAGCUCACUGGUCGAGUCGGCCUGCGCGGAAGAUGUAACGGGGCUAAGUAGUAAACCGAAGCUGCGGCAAUAUACUUUUGUAUAUUGGGUAGGGGAGCGUUCUGUAAGCGGUUGAAGGUGUGUGGUAACGCAUGCUGGACGUAUCAGAAGUGCGAAUGCUGACAUGAGUAACGAUAAAGGGGGUGAAAAACCUCCUCGCCGGAAGACCAAGGGUUCCUGUCCAACGUUAAUCGGGGCAGGGUAAGUCGACCCCUAAGGCGAGGCCGAAAGGCGUAGUCGAUGGGAAACGGGUUAAUAUUCCCGUACUUCUUACAAUUGCGAUGGGGGGACGGAGAAGGCUAGGUGGGCCUGGCGACGGUUGUCCAGGUUCAAGUGCGUAGGCUUAAGAGUUAGGUAAAUCCGGCUCUUUUUAAGGCUGAGACACGACGUCGAGCACCUACGGGUGUGAAGUCAUUGAUGCCAUGCUUCCAGGAAAAGCCUCUAAGCUUCAGAUUGUAAGGAAUCGUACCCCAAACCGACACAGGUGGUCGGGUAGAGAAUACCAAGGCGCUUGAGAGAACUCGGGUGAAGGAACUAGGCAAAAUGGUACCGUAACUUCGGGAGAAGGUACGCUCUUGAUGGUGAAGUCCCUUGCGGAUGGAGCUGACGAGAGUCGCAGAUACCAGGUGGCUGCAACUGUUUAUUAAAAACACAGCACUGUGCAAAAUCGUAAGAUGACGUAUACGGUGUGACGCCUGCCCGGUGCCGGAAGGUUAAUUGAUGGGGUUAGACUUCGGUCGAAGCUCUUGAUCGAAGCCCCGGUAAACGGCGGCCGUAACUAUAACGGUCCUAAGGUAGCGAAAUUCCUUGUCGGGUAAGUUCCGACCUGCACGAAUGGCGUAAUGAUGGCCACGCUGUCUCCACCCGAGACUCAGUGAAAUUGAAAUCGCUGUGAAGAUGCAGUGUACCCGCGGCUAGACGGAAAGACCCCGUGAACCUUUACUACAGCUUGGCACUGAACAUUGACCCUACAUGUGUAGGAUAGGUGGGAGGCUUUGAAGCACGUACGCCAGUAUGUGUGGAGCCGUCCUUGAAAUACCACCCUUGUAGUGUUGAUGUUCUAACGUCGACCCCUUAUCGGGGUUGCGGACAGUGCCUGGUGGGUAGUUUGACUGGGGCGGUCUCCUCCCAAAGAGUAACGGAGGAGCACGAAGGUGGGCUAAUCACGGUUGGACAUCGUGAGGUUAGUGCAAUGGCAUAAGCCCGCUUGACUGCGAGAAUGACAAUUCGAGCAGGUGCGAAAGCAGGUCAUAGUGAUCCGGUGGUUCUGAAUGGAAGGGCCAUCGCUCAACGGAUAAAAGGUACUCCGGGGAUAACAGGCUGAUACCGCCCAAGAGUUCAUAUCGACGGCGGUGUUUGGCACCUCGAUGUCGGCUCAUCACAUCCUGGGGCUGAAGUCGGUCCCAAGGGUAUGGCUGUUCGCCAUUUAAAGUGGUACGCGAGCUGGGUUUAGAACGUCGUGAGACAGUUCGGUCCCUAUCUGCCGUGGGCGUUGGAAGAUUGAAGGGGGCUGCUCCUAGUACGAGAGGACCGGAGUGGACGAACCUCUGGUGUUCGGGUUGUGUCGCCAGACGCAUUGCCCGGUAGCUAAGUUCGGAAUCGAUAACCGCUGAAAGCAUCUAAGCGGGAAGCGAGCCCUGAGAUGAGUCUUCCCUGAUACUUUAAGUAUCCUAAAGGGUUGUCGGAGACUACGACGUUGAUAGGUCAGGUGUGUAAGUGCUGUGAGGCAUUGAGCUAACUGAUACUAAUUGCCCGUGAGGCUUAACCAUACAACACCCAAGGGGUUU